Carica papaya (papaya) is the source of this 2230-nucleotide non-coding RNA. NCBI's taxonomy places the organism in Eukaryota, Viridiplantae, Streptophyta, Magnoliopsida, Brassicales, Caricaceae. The record is from RefSeq and is a predicted model, not a curated record.
CCAGUGUCCAAUUUAACAUUCUCAGUUUCAGUGGGGGAGAGAAAUAGAGAGGGAUUAGGGUUUCGGUUGGGUCUCUGUAAUGGAGAGUAUUACAGUUCUUAAUACGGAAAGUUGUAGUCUUGCAGUUAAGAAGGCAGAGGGGGAUAAACCGGCAAAGGUAUCUUCGCUUGGCAGUGCAGCAAGGAAAAGUCUAGCUGACAUAAGCAAUCAGCAGCAACAGGCUGGAUAUUUAAACCAAGAUGGAAAGCCUGGGCUGUCUGUUUCACUUUCGACCAAGGAAUAUAUUGAAAAGCUCCAGAGGGAAUAUAUGGCAAUGAGAAAACAUAUUGCAGACAGAGAUAAAAUCAUCGAAUUGAGAGGGAUGGAUUUGCAGAAAUUGCGAAUCAAUUUGCAGAAGGUGCAGCUGCAGAAUUUCCAACUUGCCCAAGUGAAUAGCCAAUUGUUGGCGGAGCUUAAUUCAGGAAAAGAUAGGCUGAAGAUACUGCAGCAUGAGCUUGCAUGCAAAGAUGGCUUGCUCAAGGCAAGAAAAUUGAAGUUGGAGGGAAAAGCAAAAACAAAGACUUAUCCAGUAUCUGAAAAUAAGGUGCAAAGAAUCGACUAUGAUGAGGGGGACGAUAAAUCUUGCAAUUCCAGCAGAAGACAGCAAUUGAAAAACAAAUCUUGCAACCCCUCUUCUGUUAAAGUGGUACAAGAUAGUGAGAAGGAUGAUAGUAAGAGGCCUCCUGCAAGAAGGCAGUCUGCUAGGUUUAAGACUCAAGAACAAGGAUCAGCUGAUAUUGUUCUCCAGAUUGAUGAUGCAAAACAGAGGGCUCAGAAACGCAGGCUUUCUCUCAGAAGGCAGUCCGAUAGGUUUAAACCUCAAGAGGCAAGACCAGCUGAAGCUUUAUUCGAGUUAGAUGAUGCUAAUGAGGAAGCUGAAAACAAGAGACUUUGCAUAGGAAGACAGUCUGCCAGGCCUAAAUGUCAUGAAGAGGAAGCACAUGAGGAUUUGUUUGAGAUAGAUGACUCCAAAUUUCCAGUUUCUCCUUUGUGUGAUCAAACGGCGAACACAAGUAGUCCCCCACCAUCAGAUUUAUUUGUUAAAAAAAAUCAUGAAGGAAAGAUUUCCUCUCCAGCUGAUGCUCAGGAAAUCAGAAGAUCAUCUAUUGGACGGCCCUUGCGUCGAGCAGCUGAGAAAGUUCAUUCCUACAAGGAAAGACCAAUUAAUAUAAAGAUGCGGAGAGAAAAGUGAGUGAAUUUUUUCCCUAGUAUCUUUUUACUAUCAUUCACGUAUUUCUCAUUCCUAAUGUAGGUCCUCUGAACUCAUUGUAUAUUGUUACGCCAGUACUUUAUUUUUGUCAUCUGCUGAUGAUAGAGGAAAAAUGUACAAAAAACAACUUUAAUAGUUCAUGGAGUUCUAUAUAACUAUAUACCUCUGUAAGAAUUCAAACACAUUUUGGCUAGAUGCAUUCUUAAAAUUCAGACAUAUAUUCUCAAGUCCUAUAUCAGUUGUAUGAUAUCUUCCACUUUGUUUAUUCAAAUACAAGACUUCUAAUUUAUUUCCUUUUGUGUUUGUGCGCCUUCUCUUGUUUACUUGUUCGGUGUGUGAGAAAACAUAUGAGAGUUGUAGUCAAUCACUAGUUGUAGUUGGAGAACUGAUCAUGGUAAGAUGAGUCAAAAUGCUAGUGUAUUUAUUCAACUUCAUUGAGAUCAUUUCUGUGAUUAAGAUGUAAAUCAUCUUCUAAAAGUUUCCAACUAGGCUCACCUAUCAGUCAAAUAACACUUGAAGCAAGUGAAAAGAUCAGUUGGAAGUUCGGUGGCUGCAGUUCUCUUAUUCAGAUUCUUCCUCUGGUAUUUCUCUUUUGAUUCUGUAUUUCUCUUUUGAUUCUUUUAUGUAGAUGUUUGAAGAGCUACCUACUUUCUUCCCCUAAUCAGAAGUGUAGGGUUUUGAUGAUGAAUUACUUGGUUGGUUGUAGCCUUCAAGGAUCAUGUUAUAGGGCUUGGCAAAAUUUGUAUAUGCAUGCACUAGGGAGUUCAUAGAUGCUUAGCAUCCAAAAUUUCAGAACAGAAGUGGCAGAACUGAGAUAACUCUCAUAACUACAAAAUGAGGGGAAGUGAAGGGUGGCAUACUGUUGAACCUCUUCCCAGCAAAAUGGUAUUUGUAUAUGUUGAUUGGUGAUGCUUUAGGAUCUGUCAUAUAUGUAAAGGACAUACCGGAUGUUAGUACUGGAAAUUGGAAUUUUGUUUGGGG